AUUGAACGCUGGCGGAAUGCUUUACACAUGCAAGUCGAACGGCAGCACGGACUUCGGUCUGGUGGCGAGUGGCGAACGGGUGAGUAAUGUAUCGGAGCGUGCCCAGUCGUGGGGGAUAACGUAGUGAAAAUUACGCUAAUACCGCAUACGAUCUAUGGAUGAAAGCGGGGGAUCGCAAGACCUCGCGCGAUUGGAGCGGCCGAUAUCAGAUUAGGUAGUUGGUGGGGUAAAGGCCCACCAAGCCAACGAUCUGUAGCUGGUCUGAGAGGACGACCAGCCACCCUGCAACUGAGACACGGUCCAGACGCCUACGGGAGGCAGCAGUGGGGAAUUUUGGACAAUGGGCGAAAGCCUGAUCCAGCCAUUCCGCGUGCAGGAUGAAGGCCCUCGGGUUGUAAACUGCUUUUGUACAGAACGAAAAGGUUUCUACUAAUACUAGGAGCUCAUGACGGUACUGUAAGAAUAAGCACCGGCUAACUACGUGCCAGCAGCCGCGGUAA
RNAcentral lists this ribosomal RNA (500 nucleotides) under uncultured bacterium. RNAcentral describes it as "partial 16S ribosomal RNA". It matches the Rfam family "Bacterial small subunit ribosomal RNA", at positions 30 to 523 of the family's 1533-position model. The record is from RNAcentral.